CUACGGGUGGCAGCAGUGGGGAAUAUUGCACAAUGGAGGAAACUCUGAUGCAGCAACGCCGCGUGGAGGAUGACACUUUUCGGAGCGUAAACUCCUUUUAUAUAGGAAGAAGAUGACGGUACUAUAUGAAUAAGCGCCGGCUAACUCCGUGCCAGCAGCCGGGGUAAUACGGAGGGCGCAAGCGUUACUCGGAAUCACUGGGCGUAAAGAGCGUGUAGGCGGAUUAAAAAGUCAGAAGUGAAAUCCUAUAGCUUAACUAUAGAACUGCUUCUGAAACUCUUAAUCUAGAAUAUGGGAGAGGUAGAUGGAAUUGCUGGUGUAGGGGUAAAAUCCGUAGAGAUCAGAAGGAAUACCGAUUGCGAAGGCGAUCUACUAGAACAUUAUUGACGCUGAGACGCGAAAGCGUGGGGAGCAAACAGGAUUAGAUACCCCCGUAGUC
This 439-nucleotide ribosomal RNA is filed under the name uncultured bacterium. RNAcentral's name for it is "partial 16S ribosomal RNA". It matches the Rfam family "Bacterial small subunit ribosomal RNA", at positions 339 to 795 of the family's 1533-position model. The record is from RNAcentral.